Molecule: ribosomal RNA, 253 nt
Filed under: uncultured bacterium
Lineage: Bacteria
Description: partial 16S ribosomal RNA
Rfam family: Bacterial small subunit ribosomal RNA
Source: RNAcentral
UACGAAGGGGGCUAGCGUUGCUCGGAAUCACUGGGCGUAAAGGGUGCGUAGGCGGGUUUUUAAGUCAGGGGUGAAAUCCUGGAGCUCAACUCCAGAACUGCCUUUGAUACUGGGAAGCUUGAGUCCGGGAGAGGUGAGUGGAACUCCGAGUGUAGAGGUGAAAUUCGUAGAUAUUCGCAAGAACACCAGUGGCGAAGGCGGCUCACUGGCCCGAUACUGACGCUGAGGUGCGAAAGCGUGGGGAGCAAACAGG